GAUGAACGCUGGCGGCGUGCCUAAUACAUGCAAGUCGAGCGAACAGACGCGGAGUUUGUUUCUUUGACAUUAGCGGCGGACGGGUGAGUAACAAGCGGAUAACCUACCUGUCUGUCUGGGAUAAAUAACGGAAACAGGAGCUUACUACGGACGCAUUUUUGAUACAUAUGGUAUAAUAAUGAAAGAAGGUUUUCAUGCCGCUAAUAGAUGGCUUCGCGCCUCAUUAGCUAGUUGGUAAGGUAACGGCUUACCAAGGCGACGAUGAGUAGCCGACCUGAGAGGGGGAUCGGCCGCCCGAGAGCUGGGACGCGCGCCAGGCUCCUGAGUGAGGCAGCAGUCAGGAAUCUUCGGCAGUGGGCGGGAGCAUAACGGGGCAACGGCACGAAAGUGAGAAAGAGUGUCGGAGCGUAAAGCUCGAUUAUUAGCGGAGAACAAAUUUUUGAGGUACUGUACACGACUUGACGGUACCUAAUCAGAAAGCCACGGCUAACUACGUG
Molecule: ribosomal RNA, 497 nt
Filed under: uncultured bacterium
Lineage: Bacteria
Description: partial 16S ribosomal RNA
Rfam family: Bacterial small subunit ribosomal RNA
Source: RNAcentral